CACGUGGGUAACCUGCCCAAGAGAUCGGGAUAACACCUGGAAACAGAUGCUAAUACCGGAUAACAACAGAUGAUGCCUAUCAACUGUUUAAAAGAUGGUUCUGCUAUCACUCUUGGAUGGACCUGCGGUGCAUUAGCUAGUUGGUAGGGUAACGGCCUACCAAGGCGAUGAUGCAUAGCCGAGUUGAGAGACUGAUCGGCCACAUUGGGACUGAGACACGGCCCAAACUCCUACGGGAGGCGCAGUC
This 247-nucleotide ribosomal RNA is filed under the name uncultured Lactobacillus sp. RNAcentral's name for it is "partial 16S ribosomal RNA". It matches the Rfam family "Bacterial small subunit ribosomal RNA", at positions 114 to 349 of the family's 1533-position model. The record is from RNAcentral. Lineage: Bacteria; Bacillati; Bacillota; Bacilli; Lactobacillales; Lactobacillaceae.